UAAUCGGAAUGAGUACACUCUAAACCCUUUAACGAGGAUCAAUUGGAGGGCAAGUCUGGUGCCAGCAGCCGCGGUAACUCCAGCUCCAAUAGCGUAUAUUAAAGUUGUUGCGGUUAAAAAGCUCGUAGUCGAAUUUGUGUCCCGCGCCGCCGGUUCAUCGCUCGCGGUGUCAACUGGCGUGUCGCGGGACGUCCUGCCGGUGGGCUUAGCUCUUCGGGGCGGCCCAAUCUCAAUCCCAUCGCGGUGCUCUUCAUUGAGUGUCGAGGUGGGCCGGCACGUUUACUUUGAACAAAUUAGAGUGCUUAAAGCAGGCUAAAACAUCGCCUGAAUACUGUGUGCAUGGAAUAAUGGAAUAGGACCUCGGUUCUAUUUUGUUGGUUUUCGGAACUCCGAGGUAAUGAUUAAUAGGAACGGAUGGGGGCAUUCGUAUUGCGACGUUAGAGGUGAAAUUCUUGGAUCGUCGCAAGACGGACAGAAGCGAAAGCAUUUGCCAAAAACGCUUUCAUUGAUCAAGAACGAAAGUUAGAGGUUCGAAGGCGAUCAGAUACCGCCCUAGUUCUAACCAUAAACGAUGCCAGCUAGCGAUCCGCCGACGUUCCUCCGAUGACUCGGCGGGCAGCUUCCGGGAAACCAAAGCUUUUGGGUUCCGGGGGAAGUAUGGUUGCAAAGCUGAAACUUAAAGGAAUUGACGGAAGGGCACCACCAGGAGUGGAGCCUGCGGCUUAAUUUGACUCAACACGGGAAACCUCACCAGGCCCGGACACCGGAAGGAUUGACAGAUUGAGAGC
This 788-nucleotide ribosomal RNA is filed under the name Tanzanolus sp. sp100. Its description in RNAcentral is "SSU rRNA". It matches the Rfam family "Eukaryotic small subunit ribosomal RNA", at positions 506 to 1255 of the family's 1831-position model. Lineage: Eukaryota; Metazoa; Arthropoda; Insecta; Coleoptera; Scarabaeidae. The record is from RNAcentral.